CAUUUAAAGUGGUACGCGAGCUGGGUUUAGAACGUCGUGAGACAGUUCGGUCCCUAUCUGCCGUGGGCGCUGGAGAAUUGAGGGGGGCUGCUCCUAGUACGAGAGGACCGGAGUGGACGCAUCACUGGUGUUCGGGUUGUCAUGCCAAUGGCACUGCCCGGUAGCUAAAUGCGGAAGAGAUAAGUGCUGAAAGCAUCUAAGCACGAAACUUGCCCCGAGAUGAGUUCUCCCUGACUCCUUGAGAGUCCUGAAGGAACGUUGAAGACGACGACGUUGAUAGGCCGGGUGUGUAAGCGCAGCGAUGCGUUGAGCUAACCGGUACUAAUGAACCGUGAGGCUUAACCUUACAACGCCGAAG
This 358-nucleotide ribosomal RNA is filed under the name Escherichia coli. RNAcentral's name for it is "bacterial LSU rRNA". It matches the Rfam family "Bacterial large subunit ribosomal RNA", at positions 2585 to 2925 of the family's 2925-position model. The record is from RNAcentral. Lineage: Bacteria; Pseudomonadati; Pseudomonadota; Gammaproteobacteria; Enterobacterales; Enterobacteriaceae.